CCUACGGGUGGCUGCAGUGAGGAAUAUUGGUCAAUGGGCGCUAGCCUGAACCAGCCAAGUAGCGUGAAGGAUGACUGCCCUAUGGGUUGUAAACUUCUUUUAUAUGGGAAUAAAACGCAGCAUGUAUACCUUUUUGCAUGUACUUUAUGAAUAAGGAUCGGCUAACUCCGUGCCAGCAGCCGCGGUAAUACGGAGGAUCCGAGCGUUAUCCGGAUUUAUUGGGUUUAAAGGGAGCGUAGACGGGUUGUUAAGUCAGUUGUGAAAGUUUGCGGCUCAACCGUAAAAUUGCAAUUGAUACUGGCAUGCUUGAGUAUAGUAGAGGUAGGCGGAAUUCGUGGUGUAGCGGUGAAAUGCUUAGAUAUCACGAAGAACCCCGAUUGCGAAGGCAGCCUGCUGAACUGUGACUGACGCUGAUGUUCGAAAGUGUGGGUAUCAAACAGGAUUAGAUACCCUGGUAGUC
RNAcentral lists this ribosomal RNA (460 nucleotides) under uncultured bacterium. RNAcentral describes it as "partial 16S ribosomal RNA". It matches the Rfam family "Bacterial small subunit ribosomal RNA", at positions 338 to 795 of the family's 1533-position model. The record is from RNAcentral.